Molecule: ribosomal RNA, 214 nt
Filed under: Vibrio parahaemolyticus
Lineage: Bacteria; Pseudomonadati; Pseudomonadota; Gammaproteobacteria; Vibrionales; Vibrionaceae
Description: partial 23S ribosomal RNA
Rfam family: Bacterial large subunit ribosomal RNA
Source: RNAcentral
GGGGGGACGGAGAAGGCUAGGUGGGCCUGGCGACGGUUGUCCAGGUUCAAGUGCGUAGGCUUAAGAGUUAGGUAAACCGGCUCUUUUUAAGGCUGAGACACGACGUCGAGCACCUACGGGUGUGAAGUCAUUGAUGCCAUGCUUCCAGGAAAAGCCUCUAAGCUUCAGAUUGUAAGGAAUCGUACCCCAAACCGACACAGGUGGUCGGGUAGAG